AAGUCUGUGCGCACGGCCAAUACCUUUAUAUAUAUAUAUGUGUGUGUGUGUGUGUGUGUGUGUGUGUGUGUUAAACAUGCUUAC
This 84-nucleotide microRNA precursor is filed under the name Ciona intestinalis (vase tunicate). RNAcentral's name for it is "miRNA (ENSCING00000024987.1)". Lineage: Eukaryota; Metazoa; Chordata; Ascidiacea; Phlebobranchia; Cionidae. The record is from RNAcentral.